CAAUCGUUCUAAGGAAAGGUCUACCAAGAAUAAUAGGACAUGUAGGAUUGCAAUCUAUAUCAAGAACAAUGAAAUCUACGGGAACAUAAUUCCUAUUUGCAACCAUAAGAACAUCAUUAAUCCUUCCCGCAGGUUUCUUAAUUGUAGAAUACGCUAGAUGCAAACUUAAAGAGCGAUCAUCAAAUUCACUGAAUCCUAGCACAUCACAUAAAGUUUUCGGAAUCGUGGAAAUGCUAGCACCCAAAUCACACAAAGCAUGGCACUCAUAAUCUUUAAUUUUAAUCUUAAUAUUAUGUUCCCACUCAUCAUAAAGCUUUGUAGGUAUAGUAACUUACAACUCAAGUUUUUCUUCAAAAGGUCUCAUCAUGGCAUCCACAAUAUGUUUAGUAAAAGCUUUAUUUUGAC
This 405-nucleotide long non-coding RNA is filed under the name Hordeum vulgare. Its description in RNAcentral is "long non-coding RNA (HVUL_LNC012067)". Lineage: Eukaryota; Viridiplantae; Streptophyta; Magnoliopsida; Poales; Poaceae. The record is from RNAcentral.